Molecule: ribosomal RNA, 486 nt
Filed under: uncultured bacterium
Lineage: Bacteria
Description: partial 16S ribosomal RNA
Rfam family: Bacterial small subunit ribosomal RNA
Source: RNAcentral
AUUGAACGCUGGCGGCAUGCCUUACACAUGCAAGUCGAACGGCAGCACGGGUGCUUGCACCUGGUGGCGAGUGGCGAACGGGUGAGUAAUACAUCGGAACAUGUCCUGUAGUGGGGGAUAGCCCGGCGAAAGCCGGAUUAAUACCGCAUACGAUCUACGGAUGAAAGCGGGGGACCUUCGGGCCUCGCGCUAUCGGGUUGGCCGAUGGCUGAUUAGCUAGUUGGUGGGGUAAAGGCCUACCAAGGCGACGAUCAGUAGCUGGUCUGAGAGGACGACCAGCCACACUGGGACUGAGACACGGCCCAGACUCCUACGGGAGGCAGCAGUGGGGAAUUUUGGACAAUGGGCGAAAGCCUGAUCCAGCAAUACCGCGUGUGUGAAGAAGGCCUUCGGGUUGUAAAGCACUUUUGUCCGGAAAGAAAUCCUUGGCCCUAAUACGGUCGGGGGAUGACGGUACCGGAAGAAUAAGCACCGGCUAACUACGUG